UGGCGACCGGCGCACGGGUGAGUAACACGUAUCCAACCUGCCGAUAACUCGGGGAUAGCCUUUCGAAAGAAAGAUUAAUACCCGAUGGCAUAAUUAGACCGCAUGGUUUGAUUAUUAAAGAAUUUCGGUUAUCGAUGGGGAUGCGUUCCAUUAGGCAGUUGGUGAGGUAACGGCUCACCAAACCUUCGAUGGAUAGGGGUUCUGAGAGGAAGGUCCCCCACAUUGGAACUGAGACACGGUCCAA
RNAcentral lists this ribosomal RNA (244 nucleotides) under uncultured bacterium. RNAcentral describes it as "partial 16S ribosomal RNA". It matches the Rfam family "Bacterial small subunit ribosomal RNA", at positions 89 to 334 of the family's 1533-position model. The record is from RNAcentral.